Long non-coding RNA from Brienomyrus brachyistius, 910 nucleotides. RefSeq lists it as uncharacterized. NCBI's taxonomy places the organism in Eukaryota, Metazoa, Chordata, Actinopteri, Osteoglossiformes, Mormyridae. The record is from RefSeq and is a predicted model, not a curated record. The transcript is spliced from 2 exons.
UGAUUGUUUUGCAUCAUCCUAACUGGCAGUUUAUUGUUUUGUGUUUGUUUUUUUUCGCUUUCUGCAAGGUCCUUAGUAAUAAUAAUUCACUUAAUAAUUCUGCACAGGAAAGAAUCUGCAUUGUGUUUUCCAGUUUUUCUCCGAACUCAGACCAAAUACUGAAUAUGCUCUGUUUUCAAACAGUUCAUUCUUAGCGAUUCAUCUGGACUGAAAGUAUUGUUUGGUAGAGAACAUACAAAUAAAAUACACACUUGCCCAAUAAUUCUGCACACAGUGUGUCACGAUCUUGCUGGCAAAGCAGGCGAUCGUGCGGGUAGUUGCGUCAGGCGAGCGAGCAGGAACAGGCAGGCAAGAGGGAUAUGGGCUAAAAGGGUCUUUAAUCACGGAAGGGAAACCGGGGAUCAGGAAACAUAGCACACCGACUGACAUCAAUGACGGACGAAAGACUCAGACCUCAAUCUAUCAAGAUAUCCAGCAUACCCUACUACAUGUGACGUCGCCACCACCAGUGACGUCCCUGCAUCCAGCUCGCCGUUCUGAUCUUCCAUGUAUGACCCGCUGCCUUACCUCUGGUUGCCUGGCAAUUGGAAGAAGACUCGGCUUCGGCAUUGGCUUAUCAUCUUCCUUGCUCUCCAGUUAUUUCCCAAAUCUUAUUGGGGACAAUGUGACUUGGCCCAUCUCUGGCACUUAACCAUCUCUCUAUUUGACUAUCCCUGCCGGCCCCUGGAGGAUGGGCUCCCCCUUUGAGUCUGGUCCCUCUCAAGGUUUCUUCCUUCUAGGGAGUUUUUCCUUGCCACUGUUGCCUAUGGCUUACUCACUGGGGGCUUUGGGUGAGGAUACUGUAAAGCGCUUUGAGACAAUGUAAUGUUGUGAUAAUGCGCUAUAUAAAAAUAAAUUUGUUGUUGUUGUU